ACGUAGGGGGCUAGCGUUGUCCGGAAUCAUUGGGCGUAAAGCGCGUGUAGGCGGUCCGGUAAGUCCGCUGUGAAAGUCGGGGGCUCAACCCUCGGAUGCCGGUGGAUACUGUCGGGCUUGAGUACGGAAGAGGCGAGUGGAAUUCCCAGUGUAGAGGUGAAAUUCGUAGAUAUUGGGAAGAACACCGGUGGCGAAGGCGGCUCACUGGCCCGUAACUGACGCUCAUGCACGACAGCGUGGGGAUCAAACAGGA
RNAcentral lists this ribosomal RNA (253 nucleotides) under uncultured prokaryote. RNAcentral describes it as "partial 16S ribosomal RNA". It matches the Rfam family "Bacterial small subunit ribosomal RNA", at positions 525 to 777 of the family's 1533-position model. The record is from RNAcentral.